UCCGUAGGGUGCGAGCGUUGUCCGGAAUUAUUGGGCGUAAAGGGCUCGUAGGCGGUUUGUCGCGUCGGGAGUGAAAACCAUGGGCUUAACUCAUGGCUUGCUUCCGAUACGGGCAGACUAGAGGCAUGCAGGGGAGAACGGAAUUCCUGGUGUAGCGGUGAAAUGCGCAGAUAUCAGGAGGAACACCGGUGGCGAAGGCGGUUCUCUGGGCAUGUCCUGACGCUGAGGAGCGAAAGUGUGGGGAGCGAACAGG
RNAcentral lists this ribosomal RNA (253 nucleotides) under uncultured bacterium. Its description in RNAcentral is "partial 16S ribosomal RNA". It matches the Rfam family "Bacterial small subunit ribosomal RNA", at positions 524 to 776 of the family's 1533-position model. The record is from RNAcentral.